RNAcentral lists this long non-coding RNA (400 nucleotides) under Mus pahari (shrew mouse). RNAcentral describes it as "lncRNA (MGP_PahariEiJ_G0012012.1)". The stretch from base 107 to 176 matches the Rfam family "Small nucleolar RNA SNORD22". The record is from RNAcentral. Lineage: Eukaryota; Metazoa; Chordata; Mammalia; Rodentia; Muridae.
CUGAGACCAAAGGAGCCAUGCCAGGAAAGUUAAAGCGUAUCUUCAUUUUUAAGUCCAGGCUAAAGUAAGGUGAGAAAACUUAUGUAAAGUAUGCUGAACUAUAGUUUCCCCAUGAAGAAAUGUUCAAACGUCCUACUUCCUGUCCUAGCUCCAGAGCCUGAAAAGGUCUGAGGAAAAGAAUGAGCUGCAUGAGAAAGAUAGGAACAGAUCAUCAAAUCUGAUUGUCCGGGCCAGUGUUGCAUCAUAACAGGCCACUUUAAAAUGAAGUGAAAUUGACAAUUGUGAAUUUAACCUUCCUUGAUUACUACAUUGUUAACUCUAGGAACUAGUAUCUGGUCCUUACUACAUUGUUAACUUGUAGACCUGUGUUUAUGUCUAGCAAUAAAUGCUCUUUAUGCUA